GUCUACGGCCAUACCACCCUGAACGUGCCCGAUCUUGUCUGAUCUCGGAAGCUAAGCAGGGUCAGGCCUGGUGAGUAAUUGGAUGGGAGAACCAUACAGCAUUCACUCUUUAAAUCUGGCUUCUUUCACU
RNAcentral lists this ribosomal RNA (130 nucleotides) under Chinchilla lanigera (long-tailed chinchilla). The record is from RNAcentral. Lineage: Eukaryota; Metazoa; Chordata; Mammalia; Rodentia; Chinchillidae.